UACAAGCUGUUCUGCAGAAAUUCACCAAAGCUCUCUCUAAAUCCACGAACACUUCCAACUGGAAGGACAAGAGCAGCAGAUACAUGGGAACACAACCACCUCCAAGUUCCCCUCCGAGCCCCUCACCAUCCCGACUCGGAAAUAUAUUACCGUUCCUUCACUGUCGCUGGGUCAGAAUCUGGAAUUCCCUCCCUCAGAGCAUUGGGGGUCAACCCCAGCAGGGAGACUGCAGCGGUUCAAGAAGGCAGCACAUCAAUACUAUCUCAAGUGGGGGCAACUAGGGACGGGGCAGUAAAUGUUAGCUGGCUAGCGAUAAAAACAGAAUGUUACCUGAAAACUGAAGGGACACACAGGGCAAAAUCUUUUGGAAAUUUCAGACUCUGGGAGUAAAUCAACUGAAUGCCAAGGGGCUGUGGCACACUAUGGAUGGUUCAACUGAAUGCCAAGGGGCUGUGGCACACUGUAAAGAUAAAUCAAGUGGAUACUAAGGGGCUGUGGCAGGUGGUAGUGUUGGGGGAAAGGCAGAGUGUUACCCCCGCACGCUAACCUGAAGAAACUGUUUGAAUCCAUAGGGACCUCGACCUAUCGGAGUUCCUCAUCAACCCCAAGGCGAAACAUUCCAAAUAUGACCUCAUCGCCGUUUCCAACCACUACGGGAGUCUCCGUGAUGGCCACUAUACAACAAUUGCGAGGAACAAGGAUGACGGACUCUGGUAUUACUUUGAUGACAGUAAGGUGACCUUCGCCUCUGCUGAGCACAUUGUGAGCAGCGCCGCCUACGUGCUGUUUUACCAACUGCAGGAGAAGGUGCCGCGGCGGCCGGGGGGCUCCCCUGAGGACGGGUGCCCCCCCUCGGCGAGUGGGAGCAGCCGGCAGACGGAAAGCCCACCCCCGGGGGCCGGUGGGGAAAUGGAGAUGGAGUGACCCAAAACCGACCAAGACUUGUGACUGGCACCCGUCGCCAACAACCCCCCUUCCCCCCCCCACUGUUGGAUUUGGGAGCAUGACGGAGGCGGGCUGGGGCGAUUUGAUCUGAACACCCCCUCCACCCCCCUGCGCGGUUGCCAACCUCCCGCAGGGCCUGGGAUCGGACUGUGCACUGCAAAUCGGAACGAUACUGAUCCACCCGUCUCCGCAAACCUCAAUAUUUAAACCCUUUAAAACUCUCUGCCGUCGCUCCCUCCCCAACCAGGGUUUUUUUUUGGGGGGUGGGGGAAACACAUUUAGCCCCACCCCCCACACGCCCCCUGCUCCCAACACCUUUAACCGAAGGCUGGCCGGAUUGGUCUGGGGGCGGUUGGCGUCCCGACUGGGUGAGGCGGGAGGGAGAAGAGAGGUGAGGUGUUGCAGAGUCGGCCCUUCCCUCGGCAGGGAGCGGGAUCUUCCUGUGCUUCCCGAUUUCUCCCCGCCCGCCCCCUACGAAACGGGUCGAUUUAUCUCAGGGACUCCCUGCGGACCGAAGCGGGUUCGCGACCGAGCGACCUCAAGUGAUUUUUUUUUUUCCCCUGUCCUCCCCACUCCCCCUCCUCGUUGGAGUGUGGGGGGGGGGGCUUAAUUGGAACUAACUCUCUCACACACGCACAGCCCCCUAUUCCCCAAUCGCCCUCUGUGAGGCGCUCUCUCUCUCUGAUUUUCCCCCAUGUGUGUGUGUGUGUGAGGAACCUGUGGCCUUAAUCCAGAAGACUUAGGGGAACCUCCAUCUUUCAUUCCCCCCCCCCCCCCCUCAAUCCCCACCCUGACUGCGGAGGGUCAGUGGGACCCCCAAAUCACCAAUGUGGAGGGGGAGGGCAUGAAAUGCAGCAGGGUUGGUUUGUGCAAAGAGAGAGAGAGGGAGGGAGGGAGAGGGUUUCAGUGGUCCCGUCACUCACCCCGUCCUUCCUCAGAGCUGGGCGCACAACAUUGGUGACUCUGGCUCCCCCCCCCCCCCACCCCCCACACGCUCCGAGACUGGCUGGAGAUGUGGAUAAUUCUCUCUCUCUCUUGCGCACACGUGCCCCCACUCUCUCUCCCCCCCUCCACCUCUCACACACCCUCCUCCCCAAACUGCCCCCGUCUGUUCACACAGCGACCCGCUGCACUGACCUUUUCCCCCCC
Molecule: non-coding RNA, 2094 nt
Organism: Chiloscyllium plagiosum (whitespotted bambooshark)
Lineage: Eukaryota; Metazoa; Chordata; Chondrichthyes; Orectolobiformes; Hemiscylliidae
Source: RefSeq, a predicted model, not a curated record